GAAUGAACUGAUGUUAAAGCACCAUCUCAGAGAACAGACUGUCAGGACUAAACCCCAUGAACAACGUCACUGGAUUUGCUGGGAAAGAGGCCUUAAAGACAAAACAACAGAAAUGAAUGAGCAAAACAGACUACAUGUACUAAACACCAUGGACACCGUGACUGAAUUUGCUGAAAAAGGCCCUGAAGAAGCAGAAGAAUACAGCUAAAUGAGAAUGAACUGAUGUCAAAGAUGAGCAAAACAAACUGCAUGUACUAAACACCAUGGACACCGUGACUGAAUAUGCUGAAAAAGGCCCUGAAGAAGAAGAACAAUACACCUAAAUGAGUGAG
RNAcentral lists this long non-coding RNA (332 nucleotides) under Danio rerio (zebrafish). RNAcentral describes it as "si:dkey-192l18.12 (ENSDARG00000096936.3)". Lineage: Eukaryota; Metazoa; Chordata; Actinopteri; Cypriniformes; Danionidae. The record is from RNAcentral.